UAACCAGUGGGAGCUGAAGUCUUCCGUUUCUUCACAGAGGAAACAUGACAAAGGCAGUGGCCGUACUCGCUUCCUUCAUGGCCGCCCUCCCCACUGCCUCAUCCAGUGAGUGGGAGCAGCUACUUCUGGAGGUGAGAGGGAGGGAGGAUGUCCUCCAGAACCCGUGGGGCCCGCCUAGCUGCA
RNAcentral lists this small RNA (183 nucleotides) under Meriones unguiculatus (Mongolian gerbil). Its description in RNAcentral is "TUC338 (ENSMUGG00000015726.1)". Lineage: Eukaryota; Metazoa; Chordata; Mammalia; Rodentia; Muridae. The record is from RNAcentral.